This 316-nucleotide ribosomal RNA is filed under the name Anopheles rivulorum. Its description in RNAcentral is "eukaryotic LSU rRNA". It matches the Rfam family "Eukaryotic large subunit ribosomal RNA", at positions 683 to 961 of the family's 3401-position model. The record is from RNAcentral. Lineage: Eukaryota; Metazoa; Arthropoda; Insecta; Diptera; Culicidae.
UCCGGGGGCGGCUGGUUAUAUGUGAAACCCACAGGCGAAGACAACUCGAGCGUUUCGCGGGAUUACGGGUUCGGCAUUGGCGCAAGCUUUCGUCGGGCCCCUCCAUCCCAGGGUGUCCCGUCACGGGUGCUUGCACCCAGCGGGCAUCCCCCGAGUGCGUAUGAUGUGACCCGAAAGAUGGUGAACUAUGCCUGAUCAGGUCGAAGUCAGGGGAAACCCUGAUGGAGGACCGAAGCAAUUCUGACGUGCAAAUCGAUUGUCAGAGUUGGGCAUAGGGGCGAAAGACCAAUCGAACCAUCUAGUAGCUGGUUCCUUC